This 1206-nucleotide ribosomal RNA is filed under the name uncultured organism. RNAcentral's name for it is "bacterial SSU rRNA". It matches the Rfam family "Bacterial small subunit ribosomal RNA", at positions 212 to 1402 of the family's 1533-position model. The record is from RNAcentral.
CUAUCGGUCGAGGAGCGGCCCAAGUCCUAUCAGCUUGUUGGUGAGGUAAUGGCUCACCAAGGCAACGACGGGUACCGGGACUGAGAGGUUGACCCGGCGCAUUGGGACUGAGACACUGCCCAGACUCCUACGGGAGGCUGCAGUAACGAAUAUUGGACAAUGGGCGCAAGCCUGAUCCAGCGACGCCGCGUGUAGGAUGAAGUCCUUCGGGAUGUAAACUACUGUCAGGGACCACCACGCAAUACGGGUUAAUACCUCGUAACGCUGAGGAAUCCCAGAGGAAGUCACGGCUAACUUCGUGCCAGCAGCCGCGGUAAGACGAAGGUGGCAAGCGUUGUUCGGAAUCACUGGGCUUAAAGAGCAUGUAGGCGGAUGAUCAAGCGUCUUGUGAAAGCCCUCGGCUCAACCGGGGAAUUGCUUGGCGAACUGGUCAUCUUGAGGCAGGUAGGGGCAAGUGGAACUCUUGGUGGAGCGGUGGAAUGCGUAGAUAUCAAGAGGAACGCCAGAGGCGAAGGCGACUUGCUGGGCCUGUCCUGACGCUGAGAUGCGAAAGCCAGGGGAGCGAACGGGAUUAGAUACCCCGGUAGUCCUGGCCCUAAACGAUGUCCACUAGAUCGGAGAUUCUCUGACGGAUUUCUGGUCGAAAUGAAAACGUUAAGUGGACCGCCUGGGGAGUACGGUCGCAAGGCUAAAACUCAAAGGAAUUGACGGGGGCUCACACAAGCGGUGGAGCAUGUUGCUUAAUUCGAUGCAACGCGAAGAACCUUAUCCUGGACUUGACAUGUUCGGAUGCCUCCCUGGAAACAGGGUUCGGCUGCCCUUCGGGGUGAAACGAUCACAGGUGCUGCAUGGCUGUCGUCAGCUCGUGUCGUGAGAUGUUGGGUUAAGUCCCGUAACGAGCGAAACCCUUGUCGCUAGUUGCCAGCGCGUAAUGGCGGGGACUCUAGCGAGACUGCCGGUGUCAAACCGGAGGAAGGUGGGGAUGACGUCAAGUCCUCAUGGCCUUUAUGUCCAGGGCUGCAAACGUGCUACAAUGGCCGGUACAAAUCGACGCAAGACCGCGAGGUGGAGCAAAUCGCAAAAAGCCGGCCCCAGUUCGGAUUGGAGUCUGCAACUCGACUCCAUGAAGUCGGAAUCGCUAGUAAUCGCGUAUCAGCGUGACGCGGUGAAUGUGUUCCUGAGCCUUGUACACACCGCCCGUCAAGU